ACGGGUGAGUAAUGUCUGGGAAACUGCCCGAUGGAGGGGGAUAACUACUGGAAACGGUAGCUAAUACCGCAUAACGUCGCGAGACCAAAGUGGGGGACCUUCGGGCCUCACACCAUCGGAUGUGCCCAGAUGGGAUUAGCUAGUAGGUGGGGUAACGGCUCACCUAGGCGACGAUCCCUAGCUGGUCUGAGAGGAUGACCAGCCACACUGGAACUGAGACACGGUCCAGACUCCUACGGGAGGCAGCAGUGGGGAAUAUUGCACAAUGGGCGCAAGCCUGAUGCAGCCAUGCCGCGUGUAUGAAGAAGGCCUUCGGGUUGUAAAGUACUUUCAGCGGGGAGGAAGGCGACGUGGUUAAUAACCGCGUCGAUUGACGUUACCCGCAGAAGAAGCACCGGCUAACUCCGUGCCAGCAGCCGCGGUAAUACGGAGGGUGCAAGCGUUAAUCGGAAUUACUGGGCGUAAAGCGCACGCAGGCGGUCUGUCAAGUCGGAUGUGAAAUCCCCGGGCUUAACCUGGGAACUGCAUUCGAAACUGGCAGGCUAGAGUCUUGUAGAGGGGGGUAGAAUUCCAGGUGU
Molecule: ribosomal RNA, 578 nt
Filed under: uncultured Erwinia sp.
Lineage: Bacteria; Pseudomonadati; Pseudomonadota; Gammaproteobacteria; Enterobacterales; Erwiniaceae
Description: bacterial SSU rRNA
Rfam family: Bacterial small subunit ribosomal RNA
Source: RNAcentral